CGGGGAUGCGAGCGUUAUCCGGAUUUAUUGGGUUUAAAGGGUGCGUAGGCGGCCUGUUAAGUCAGCGGUGAAAUUCAGGGGCUCAACCUCUGCCGUGCCGUUGAUACUGGCAAGCUUGAAUGCGGAUGCCGUGGGAGGAAUGUGUGGUGUAGCGGUGAAAUGCAUAGAUAUCACACAGAACACCGAUUGCGAAGGCAUCUCACGAAUCCGCUAUUGACGCUGAGGCACGAAAGCGUGGGAUCAAACAGGAUU
RNAcentral lists this ribosomal RNA (252 nucleotides) under uncultured bacterium. Its description in RNAcentral is "partial 16S ribosomal RNA". It matches the Rfam family "Bacterial small subunit ribosomal RNA", at positions 527 to 779 of the family's 1533-position model. The record is from RNAcentral.